Molecule: ribosomal RNA, 780 nt
Filed under: uncultured Gordonia sp.
Lineage: Bacteria; Bacillati; Actinomycetota; Actinomycetes; Mycobacteriales; Gordoniaceae
Description: bacterial SSU rRNA
Rfam family: Bacterial small subunit ribosomal RNA
Source: RNAcentral
AGUCGAACGGAAAGGCCUAGCUUGCUGGGUACUCGAGUGGCGAACGGGUGAGUAACACGUGGGUGAUCUGCCCCUGACUUUGGGAUAAGCCUGGGAAACUGGGUCUAAUACCGGAUAUUCACUUUCUCCUGCAUGGGGGUUGGUGGAAAGCUUAUGCGGUUGGGGAUGGGCCCGCGGCCUAUCAGCUUGUAGGUGGGGUAAUGGCCUACCAAGGCGACGACGGGUAGCCGACCUGAGAGGGUGAUCGGACACACUGGGACUGAGACACGGACCAGACUCCUACGGGAGGCAGCAGUGGGGAAUAUUGCACAAUGGGCGCAAGCCUGAUGCAGCGACGCCGCGUGAGGGAUGACGGCCUUCGGGUUGUAAAACCUCUUUCAGCAGGGACGAAGCUUUUGUGACGGUACCUGGAGAAGAAGCACCGUCCAACUACGUGCCAGCGGCCGCGGUAAUACGUAGGGUGCGAGCGUUGUCCGGAAUUACUGGGCGUAAAGAGCUCGUAGUCGUUUUGUCGCGUCGUCUGUGAAAUUCUGCAGCUUAACUGCAGGCGUGCAGGCGAUACGGGCAGACUUGAGUACUACAGGGGAGACUGGAAUUCCUGGUGUAGCGGUGAAAUGCGCAGAUAUCAGGAGGAACACCGGUGGCGAAGGCGGGUCUCUGGGUAGUAACUGACGCUGAGGAGCGAAAGCGUGGGUAGCGAACAGGAUUAGAUACCCUGGUAGUCCACGCCGUAAACGGUGGGUACUAGGUGUGGGUUCCAUUUCACGGGAUCCGUGCCGU